UUGAACGCUGGCGGCAGGCCUAACACAUGCAAGUCGAGCGGCAGCGCGGGGCAACCUGGCGGCGAGCGGCGGACGGGUGAGUAACGCGUAGGAAUCUACCCAGUAGCGGGGGAUAGCCCGGGGAAACUCGGAUUAAUACCGCAUACGCCCUAAGGGAGAAAGCAGGGGAUCGUAAGACCUUGCACUAUUGGAAGAGCCUGCGUUGGAUUAGCUAGUUGGUAGGGUAAAGGCCUACCAAGGCGACGAUCCAUAACUGGUCUGAGAGGAUGAUCAGUCACACCGGAACUGAGACACGGUCCGGACUCCUACGGGAGGCAGCAGUGGGGAAUAUUGGACAAUGGGGGCAACCCUGAUCCAGCCAUGCCGCGUGUGUGAAGAAGGCCUUCGGGUUGUAAAGCACUUUAAGUGGGGAGAAAGGUUCGGCAGCUAAUACCUGCCGGAAGUGAUGUUACCCACAGAAUAAGCACCGGCUAACUCUGUGCCAGCAGCCGCCGUAA
Molecule: ribosomal RNA, 497 nt
Filed under: uncultured bacterium
Lineage: Bacteria
Description: partial 16S ribosomal RNA
Rfam family: Bacterial small subunit ribosomal RNA
Source: RNAcentral